GGCACGGUUGCUAAGUGGAAAAGCGUUGGUCUGCAAAACCGAUAUUGCGACAGUUCGAUUCUGUCCCGUGCCUCCA
RNAcentral lists this transfer RNA (76 nucleotides) under Christensenellaceae bacterium. Its description in RNAcentral is "tRNA-Cys". It matches the Rfam family "tRNA". From Rfam's summary of the family: Transfer RNA (tRNA) molecules are approximately 80 nucleotides in length. Their secondary structure includes four short double-helical elements and three loops (D, anti-codon, and T loops). Further hydrogen bonds mediate the characteristic L-shaped molecular structure. tRNAs have two regions of fundamental functional importance: the anti-codon, which is responsible for specific mRNA codon recognition, and the 3' end, to which the tRNAs corresponding amino acid is attached (by aminoacyl-tRNA synthetases). tRNAs cope with the degeneracy of the genetic code in two manners: having more than one tRNA (with a specific anti-codon) for a particular amino acid; and 'wobble' base-pairing, i.e. permitting non-standard base-pairing at the 3rd anti-codon position. The record is from RNAcentral. Lineage: Bacteria; Bacillati; Bacillota; Clostridia; Christensenellales; Christensenellaceae.